GGUCAUACGGAGGAUCCAAGCGUUAUCCGGAAUCACUGGGCGUAAAGAGUCGCGUAGGUGGCAAAGUAAGUUGGUAGUGAAAGCAUACGGCUCAACCGUAUAUACAUUACCAAAACUGCUUAGCUAGAGGACGAGAGAGGUAGUUGGAAUUCCUAGUGUAGGAGUGAAAUCCGUAGAUAUUAGGAGGAACACCGAUGGCGUAGGCAGACUACUGGCUUGUUCCUGACACUAAGGCACGAAAGCGCGGGGAGUGACCUGGAUUAGAUACCCAGUUAAUCCGCGCCGUAAACGAUGGAUGCUAGCUGUUAGAGGUAUCGACCCCUCUAGUAGCGAAGCUAACGCGUUAAGCAUCCCGCCUGUGGAGCACGGUCGCAAGACUAAAACAUAAAGGAAUUGACGGGGACCCGCACAAGCGGUGGAGCGUGUUGUUUAAUUCGACGGUAAGCGAAGAACCUUACCCAGGCUUGACUUCCUUGGAAUUUCUCCGAAAGGAGAGAGUGCUUUAUUGAACCAAGUGACAGGUGCUGCAUGGA
RNAcentral lists this ribosomal RNA (533 nucleotides) under uncultured Candidatus Saccharibacteria bacterium. RNAcentral's name for it is "bacterial SSU rRNA". It matches the Rfam family "Bacterial small subunit ribosomal RNA", at positions 519 to 1049 of the family's 1533-position model. Lineage: Bacteria; Candidatus Saccharimonadota. The record is from RNAcentral.